This 1618-nucleotide small RNA is filed under the name Pongo abelii (Sumatran orangutan). Its description in RNAcentral is "processed transcript". Lineage: Eukaryota; Metazoa; Chordata; Mammalia; Primates; Hominidae. The record is from RNAcentral.
GAUCGCGUUCCGGGACACACAGGCGGCGGCUGCGGGAGCAGAGCGGAGAUGCAGCGGCUCGGGGCCACCCUGCUGUGCCUGCUGCUGGCAGCGGCGGUCCCCACGGCCCCCGCGCCCGCUCCGACGGCGACCUCGGCUCCAGUCAAGCCCGGCCCGGCUCUCAGCUACCCGCAGGAGGAGGCCACCCUCAACGAGAUGUUCCGCGAGGUUGAGGAACUGAUGGAGGACACGCAGCACAAAUUGCGCAGCGCGGUGGAAGAGAUUUAGAUCUGGACCAGGCUGUGGGUAGAUGUGCAAUAGAAAUAGCUAAUUUAUUUCCCCAGGUGUGUGCUUUAGGCGUGGGCUGACCAGGCUUCUUCCUACAUCUUCUUCCCAGUAAAUUUCCCCUCUGGCUUGACAGCAUGAGGUGCUGUGCAUUUGUUCAGCUCCCCGAGGCUGUUCUCCAGGCUUCACAGUCUGGUGCUUGGGAGAGUCAGGCAGGGUUAAACUGCAGGAGCAGUUUGCCACCCCUGUCCAGAUUAUUGGCUGCUUUGCCUCUACCGGUUGGCAUACAGCCAACAUGGCUUUGAUAAUUGUUUGAGGGGAGGAGAUGGAAAGAAUGUGGAGUCUCCCUAUGAUGGGUUUUGGGGAAAUGUGGAGAACAGUGCCCUGCUUUGCAAACAUCAACCUGGCAAAAAAUGCAACAAAUGAAUUUUCCACGCAGUUCUUUCCAUGGGCAUAGGUAAGCUGUGCCUUCAGCUGUUGCAGAUGAAAUGUUCUGUUCACCCUGCAUUACAUGUGUUUAUUCAUCCAGCAGUGUUGCUCAGCUCCUACCUCUGUGCCAGGGCAGCGUUUUCAUAUCCACAGUCAAUUCCCUCUCUCAGCACACCCUGGGGAGGGGUCAUUGUUCUCCUCGUCCAUCAGGGAUCUCAGAGGCUCAGAGACUGCAAGCUGCUUGCCCAAGUCACACAGCUAGUGAAGACCAGAGCAGUUUCAUCUGGUUGUGACUCUAAGCUCAGUGCUCUCUCCACUACCCCACACCAGCCUUGGUGCCACCAAAAGUGCUCCCCAAAAGGAAGGAGAAUGGGAUUUUUCUUUUGAGGCGUGCACAUCUGGAAUUAAGGUCAAACUAAUUCUCACAUCCCUCUAAAAUUAAACUACUGUUAGGAAUAACAGUGUUCUCACAGUGUGGGGCAGCCAUCCUUCUAAUGAAGACAAUGAUGUUGACACUGUCCCUCUUUGGCAGUUGCAUUAGUAACUUUGAAAGGUAUAUGACUGAGCGUAGCAUAUAGGUUAACUUGCAGAAACAGUACUUAGGUAAUUGUAGGGCGAGGAUUAUAAAUGAAAUUUGCAAAAUCACUUAGCAGCAACUGAAGACCAUUAUCAACCACGUGGAGAAAAUCAAACCAAGCAGGGCUGUGUGAAAUGUGGUUGUAACAUGCAGACUGCGAACACUGAACUCUACACCACUCCACAAAUGAUGUUUUCAGGUGUCAUGGACUGUUGCCACCAUGUAUUCAUCCAGAGUUAUUAAAGUUUAAAGUUGCACAUGAUUGUAUAAGCAUGCUUUCUUUGAGUUUUAAAUUAUGUAUAAACAUAUGUUGCAUUUAGAAAUCAAGCAUAAAUCACUUCAACUGCU